This 440-nucleotide ribosomal RNA is filed under the name uncultured Moraxella sp. Its description in RNAcentral is "bacterial SSU rRNA". It matches the Rfam family "Bacterial small subunit ribosomal RNA", at positions 65 to 504 of the family's 1533-position model. The record is from RNAcentral. Lineage: Bacteria; Pseudomonadati; Pseudomonadota; Gammaproteobacteria; Moraxellales; Moraxellaceae.
AACGAAGUUAKGGAAGCUUGCUUCUGAUACUUAGUGGCGGACGGGUGAGUAAUGCUUAGGAAUCUGCCUAGUAGUGGGGGAUAACUUGGGGAAACCCAAGCUAAUACCGCAUACGACCUACGGGUGAAAGGGGGCGCAAGCUCUCGCUAUUAGAUGAGCCUAAGUCGGAUUAGCUAGUUGGUGGGGUAAAGGCCUACCAAGGCGACGAUCUGUAGCUGGUCUGAGAGGAUGAUCAGCCACACUGGGACUGAGACACGGCCCAGACUCCUACGGGAGGCAGCAGUGGGGAAUAUUGGACAAUGGGCGAAAGCCUGAUCCAGCCAUGCCGCGUGUGUGAAGAAGGCCUUUUGGUUGUAAAGCACUUUAAGUGGGGAGGAAAAGCUUAUGGUUAAUACCCAUAAGCCCUGACGUUACCCACAGAAUAAGCACCGGCUAACUCU